This 97-nucleotide signal recognition particle RNA is filed under the name Phycisphaerae bacterium. RNAcentral describes it as "signal recognition particle sRNA small type". It matches the Rfam family "Bacterial small signal recognition particle RNA". Rfam says of the family: The signal recognition particle (SRP) is a universally conserved ribonucleoprotein involved in the co-translational targeting of proteins to membranes. Archaeal SRP consists of a 7S RNA and homologues of the eukaryotic SRP19 and SRP54 proteins. Lineage: Bacteria; Pseudomonadati; Planctomycetota; Phycisphaerae. The record is from RNAcentral.
GGCCGGGUCCGUUUGGCGGGCGGCACGUGAAUCUGGUCAGGGCUUGACCGCAGCAGCCAUAAGCGGCGUCGUCCGAGCAUGCGGGUGCCUGGCCGUC